RNAcentral lists this long non-coding RNA (2340 nucleotides) under Salmo salar (Atlantic salmon). RNAcentral describes it as "lncRNA (ENSSSAG00000084322.1)". Lineage: Eukaryota; Metazoa; Chordata; Actinopteri; Salmoniformes; Salmonidae. The record is from RNAcentral.
GGGAGAUUGUGGAUUACAGAGAGGAUGUGACUGGGCCGUGAGAUUUUAGUUUUGAGGAAUUUUCCCAGUGCUCAAACUUAUUUCUGACCUGUUGUGUCAUAGCUCUGAGGUUAAGGGUUAGGUAUCAGUCUGUCUAAUUAAAUGUAAUCUGUAUGGAAAACCAUACUUGUGUGUGUGCAUGUAGAUUUAUAUUUUGCGCUUCUCUCUAUGUGUGUAUAUGUGAAAAAGCCAGUUUUAGCAUACCAGUUGGCAGUUAAGUGUGUUUGAGCGAGUGUGCAUGCAUUCAUGCAUGUGUACAUGGUGUAUGUGUACAUAUGCUUGUGUGUGUGUGUGUGUGUGUGUGUGUGUGUGUGUGUGUGUGUGUGUGUGUGUGUGUGUGUGUGUGUGUGUGUGUGUGUGUGUGUGUGUGUGUGUGUGUGUGUGUGUGUGUGUGUGUGUGUGUGUGUGCGUGAAUGUGUGUGUCUUCAUUUCACAGGAUAUGCUGCAAUCCCCACCCUCCUCCCCAUGGCUGUAAAGUGAAAAGGCAUUAUUUGCAUAAGCUAUAUCUGUGUGGAAGGAAGGUAACUAGCGGAGUUAGCGAAUUAUUAAGCCUCUCGGGUAUAAAAGGGUCUUGUUAAGAGAAAGGGGUGAGACAAGGAAGGGCUCUGUCCCAGUACUUCUAAAUAAUGUCCUUUCCUUCAUGUCCUUUUAGAACAGUAGUGAUGAAGGAAAGAAAAUUAGGAAACGGAGCUACUGUCAAGUAGGGGGCAAGGAGUGUGGGCAAGGAGGGGCAAGGAGUGUGAAUAGAGUGGGAGCAGAGAAGAUCUGUGAAGAUGCUACCUUCAUAAAAGACUAUGGUUUCAACUGACCUGAGCCCUAGGACCAUGCCUCAGGACUACCUGGCAUGAUGACUCCUUGCUGUCCCCAGUCCACCUGGCCGUGCUGCUGCUCCAGUUUCAACUGUUCUGCCUGCGGCUAUGGAACCCUGACCUGUUCACCGGACGUGCUUGUUGCACCCUCGACAACUACUAUGAUUAUUAUUAUUUGACCAUGCUGGUCAUUUAUGAACAUUUUAACAUCUUGACCAUGUUCUGUUAUAAUAUCCACCCUGCACAGCCAGAAGAGGACUGGCCACCCCUCAUAGCCUGGUUCCUCUCUAGGUUUCUUCCUAGGUUUUUGGCCUUUCUAGGGAGUUUUUCCUAGGAGUUUUUCCUAGCCACCGUGCUUCUUUCACAUGCAUUGCUUGCUGUUUGGGGUUUUAUGCUGGGUUUCUGUACAGCACUUUGAGAUAUCAGCUGAUGUACGAAGGGCUAUAUAAAUAAAUUUGAUUUGAUUUGACUUGUGAGCUGGGCAUAAUAAAAAAAGAACAAUAGGCCUACUGAUGAAAUUAUUUUGGAUGAACGUGCAAAGGUAGCCUACUUUUUGAAGUGAUUUUUUGACAAUCAGAUGAAAACAUCAUGACCGGUUGUGUUCAUGGCACAUUAAAAUGUAAUACAUUUUAACAGUUAAAUUACAUGUGUACUGUCACGUCCUGACCAGCAGAGGGAGUAGUUGUUUAGUAUUGUGGUCAGGACGUGGCAGAAGUACUGGGUAUGUGUUUGUCUAGUAUUUCUGUUUCUAUGUUGGUCUGUGUGGCUCCCGAUCAGGGACAUCUGGUUAUCGUUGUUCCUGAUUGGGAGUCAUAUAUUAGGAGUGUGUUUGUCACCUGGUUUUUGUGGGUUGUUGUAUUUCGCACCGCUAGUGAAUGUAUAGCCUGUGAAACUGUCACUAGUCGUUCUUGUUUAUUGGUUUCCGUGUAUGCUUUAUUCAAAAUAAAUAUAAAGAUGAGUUUUUCACAUCCCGGCUGCGUUUUGGUCGAUUCAACACGGCUACACCUAUGACAUGUGCACGUGCUCAGACUGGCCUCCGCCUGGGGCCUACAAAUCACUAAGUCCGGCCCUGUAUGCUGGUUACCAAUAACUCUAUGCUGUUUUCUUCAGCAGGGGACUGUCUGACGUGCACUUUGUAGGGGCACCACGUUAUGACAUGAUUGACAAUGAAGUUGUUGCUUUGUUUAUGACGUUUUCUGACUAGAACAGAUUAAAAAAUGAUUGACGAUAAGUUCAAAAGAAGUUCAAUACUGGGUAGAGGGAGACUGUGUUCCGUUACUCAUUUUCAUUACACAUCUAACACAGAGUAGUGUUGGGUUUCAGAGGUCCAUAGGGAUGGAGGGAGUUGUGGAGGAGGAGAAGAAAGAGGAAUACGAGGGGAAAACGUAUAGAACCCUGUCUGAUCCCAAUCUGAACCACGGUUGGAAAUGAGUGUUGUAACAGAACACUGCACGACCCCUCCGGCAACGACCGUAAUAUCCAACCAAACAAA